GGUGCGGGGCGCUGCGGCCGCGGCUGCAGCUCCUCCUGUCGCACCAUUUGGCUGUCACUGCGUCGCAAAAGCGGCCUCACUUGGCGGCUGCCAGGACACGUGACGGCUGCGGCCGCUACCUCCCGCCGGCAGGGGUCUCACGCAUUAAUUUGACAGACAUUUUUUGAAGGUUUCUAGUUCUGUGACCAUGCUUUCAGAACUUCAACUCAUGAUAGAUGAUAAAGAAAUUUUAUGAAAUAUUUUAGGUUAACUAUCAGCUUGGCAUUUCCUGUCCCUCAGAAACAGAGAACCUCUAUCAGCUCUAAGUUCAACUCCCUGAGACUGAAAUGAUUCUUCUCUCCACCUGUGCCUGGACCAAUAUACUCAUUGGAAUCAACCAUCACUUUUGAUGAAACAUAACUUGUGUUACAUGUGUGUAUAUUGACAUGGGUUAAAUACAUUUCUUAUGUCUGUAGUAAUAUUAUAAUAAUAAACAUUUAUG
Long non-coding RNA from Manis javanica (Malayan pangolin), 481 nucleotides. RefSeq lists it as uncharacterized. The record is from RefSeq and is a predicted model, not a curated record. Lineage: Eukaryota; Metazoa; Chordata; Mammalia; Pholidota; Manidae.